RNAcentral lists this ribosomal RNA (445 nucleotides) under uncultured bacterium. RNAcentral's name for it is "partial 16S ribosomal RNA". It matches the Rfam family "Bacterial small subunit ribosomal RNA", at positions 354 to 796 of the family's 1533-position model. The record is from RNAcentral.
GUAAGGAAUAUUGGUCAAUGGAGGCAACUCUGAACCAGCCAUGCCGCGUGCAGGAAGACGGCCCUCUGGGUUGUAAACUGCUUUUAUCCGGGAAUAAACCUGCCUUCGUGAAGGUAGCUGAAUGUACCGGAAGAAUAAGGAUCGGCUAACUCCGUGCCAGCAGCCGCGGUAAUACGGAGGAUCCAAGCGUUAUCCGGAUUUAUUGGGUUUAAAGGGUGCGUAGGCGGCCUGUUAAGUCAGGGGUGAAAGACGGUGGCUCAACCAUCGCAGUGCCCUUGAUACUGAUGGGCUUGAAUGGACUAGAGGUAGGCGGAAUGUGACAAGUAGCGGUGAAAUGCAUAGAUAUGUCACAGAACACCAAUUGCGAAGGCAGCUCACUAAGGCGAUACUGACGCUGAGGCACGAAAGCGUGGGGAUCGAACAGGAUUAGAAACCCGGGUAGUCC